Zea mays is the source of this 699-nucleotide long non-coding RNA. RefSeq lists it as uncharacterized. The transcript has 2 exons. NCBI's taxonomy places the organism in Eukaryota, Viridiplantae, Streptophyta, Magnoliopsida, Poales, Poaceae. The record is from RefSeq and is a predicted model, not a curated record.
CCGCGUGGCGACGUCCUUGCUGUACCUAGCCUGCAGAGGCACGGCAGUAGUACUCGUGCAUCUGGCAUCUGAAUGGCCACAGCCCACAGCCAGCCGAGGCCGCGUUCAACGCCUCACACCAGCUAGGCAGCUAGGCCGCCUUCCGCCCUUCUCUGCGCCGGCUUCCGACUUCCGAUUCCGAGACGACCGGGGAAAUUUGAUCCAUCGCCACAGCGGCAGCGAGCCAACUAGCCAAGGUAAAGACGAUUGGAGGAAAAGGCGAGGCGAGGCAUCGUGUUCUUUCUUCUUCAUAGGCCAGUGCGUGGCCACGGGUGGAGUGGAGGUGGAGGGGUCCCCUGGCUCUGAAUCAUCCAUGGGACGGCAUCUCUUAGCCAGCAAGCAAAAUGUCCACGUUGGCUCACUUUCACUCAUCAAAGUUGUUUUGUUACUAGCUAGGCGGGAAAGACGCCUCAGGUGGCUUCGCAAAGCAGUUGGCUAUAUAUUCUGAAAAGAAAAGAACUUUAUUUUUUUUGCCCUGUAGACAAGUGCGUAUUGAUUGUUCAGAGAUUUGUAACAGAGAAGCAUAUAAUUAUAAUGCAAGCUCCAUGCGACACGUAUAAAAUAGGAACAGCGAUAUGACCAAAGUACUCGUGUGUUCUGAUAGUGGCAUAUUUGAUUUGCGCCUCGAGUUCCACUAUUUCUGUAAGAAAAUUCAUUAAU